Molecule: long non-coding RNA, 1121 nt
Organism: Topomyia yanbarensis
Lineage: Eukaryota; Metazoa; Arthropoda; Insecta; Diptera; Culicidae
Exons: 5
Source: RefSeq, a predicted model, not a curated record
UCGUCGGUUUCAUGGCAGCGAAGUGAGCAGACAAAAAAGGCAUCGUUUUUUUUCCACAUGAUCGUUCUGAGCAAAAUUCAGCGAUUUGCCAGGCAUAAACCACCGAUGAGACAGUACCCGUUCGGAUUCAGGACGUUUUCCCAUACAUUGUACCCGGUCGAAGCGAUGGUAAGCGAUGCAGAUAACUGGGUCAAAAAGGCGGAGGUUCUGGGAAUUUCUGCACUCGUUAGCGAUCUGAGUAUGACCAAGGACAAGGAAUCAGAACCGGCGACUGACAGUCCAGAGAAAGAGAAUGCGGAAAAACCUUCUAGUCCAUAGCUCCUGAAGAAAAACGAGCUGAAGCGAAUAUGGAGAAACAGCUUCCUCCACGGAAAAUGCAGAGGCAUGCAACGCGGCGAAUGCAAGUUUGCUAAUUGAAAUUAUUCGCAAAGAUCUAGUAGAAUUAAAACUGGAGGUGCUGCGAAACGAUCCUUUUUCGACGCUAUACUCGGUUAAAACUAUCGACGCUUUGCACCUGAUGCCGGAACUGCCCACCCCGAGAGCAGAUGAGCGCUGGGGAAUGUUUUCAGCCACCUGGAGGAGGAAGUUCAGCGCGGAAGAAAUGUUACCAGACUUCGCCGAUCUGGUAUCUGGACUUUUUUGAUGAUCUCAUACAGAUUGGGUGUGCAGAUGGGCGUUUAAAGUUCUGGGAGGGAACGACUGGUAACUUUUAGGAUAUAUAUGAAGCUGAAAACAACCACAACAAUGGGGUAACUAACAUAAACCUCGCCGGUGACAAAGUGAUAGUCGCACGGUUGAGUGAACGAAUCGAUUUUCUGAGACUGGAAACGUACACGUAAGGUUUUCAGAUCGAUUGGGGAUUUACGUCUGCAUAUGGGCGAACCCACGUACGCAGCGGUUCGGCAGGAAGCAUUAGUUUAUUUCAGCAACCCGCCGGCUCAAAUCCGUCCACAGCGUUGCCAGCUCAACAUCACGCAUCCGAGGAGGAGCUUCGAUGUAUGCUAUAGUUUCACCAGCAGGGUCACCGGUGACAUGUUUGGAAGUGGCGGGCGGUACAGUCAUUACUGGCAGCCAGGGCCACACUGUUAACGUGUUCCGGCUUGAUAGCCACCUAUUGCAGU